UUAAAUUGAAGAGUUUGAUCAUGGCUCAGAUUGAACGCUGGCGGCAGGCCUAACACAUGCAAGUCGAACGGUAGCAGGAAGAAGCUUGCUUCUUUGCUGACGAGUGGCGGACGGGUGAGUAAUGUCUGGGAAACUGCCUGAUGGAGGGGGAUAACUACUGGAAACGGUAGCUAAUACCGCAUAACGUCGCAAGACCAAAGAGGGGGACCUUCGGGCCUCUUGCCAUCGGAUGUGCCCAGAUGGGAUUAGCUAGUAGGUGGGGUAACGGCUCACCUAGGCGACGAUCCCUAGCUGGUCUGAGAGGAUGACCAGCCACACUGGAACUGAGACACGGUCCAGACUCCUACGGGAGGCAGCAGUGGGGAAUAUUGCACAAUGGGCGCAAGCCUGAUGCAGCCAUGCCGCGUGUAUGAAGAAGGCCUUCGGGUUGUAAAGUACUUUCAGCGGGGAGGAAGGGAGUAAAGUUAAUACCUUUGCUCAUUGACGUUACCCGCAGAAGAAGCACCGGCUAACUCCGUGCCAGCAGCCGCGGUAAUACGGAGGGUGCAAGCGUUAAUCGGAAUUACUGGGCGUAAAGCGCACGCAGGCGGUUUGUUAAGUCAGAUGUGAAAUCCCCGGGCUCAACCUGGGAACUGCAUCUGAUACUGGCAAGCUUGAGUCUCGUAGAGGGGGGUAGAAUUCCAGGUGUAGCGGUGAAAUGUGUAGAGAUCUGGAGGAAUACCGGUGGCGAAGGCGGCCCCCUGGACGAAGACUGACGCUCAGGUGCGAAAGCGUGGGGAGCAAACAGGAUUAGAUACCCUGGUAGUCCACGCCGUAAACGAUGUCGACUUGGAGGUUGUGCCCUUGAGGCGUGGCUUCCGGAGCUAACGCGUUAAGUCGACCGCCUGGGGAGUACGGCCGCAAGGUUAAAACUCAAAUGAAUUGACGGGGGCCCGCACAAGCGGUGGAGCAUGUGGUUUAAUUCGAUGCAACGCGAAGAACCUUACCUGGUCUUGACAUCCACAGAACUUUCCAGAGAUGGAUUGGUGCCUUCGGGAACUGUGAGACAGGUGCUGCAUGGCUGUCGUCAGCUCGUGUUGUGAAAUGUUGGGUUAAGUCCCGCAACGAGCGCAACCCUUAUCCUUUGUUGCCAGCGGUCCGGCCGGGAACUCAAAGGAGACUGCCAGUGAUAAACUGGAGGAAGGUGGGGAUGACGUCAAGUCAUCAUGGCCCUUACGACCAGGGCUACACACGUGCUACAAUGGCGCAUACAAAGAGAAGCGACCUCGCGAGAGCAAGCGGACCUCAUAAAGUGCGUCGUAGUCCGGAUUGGAGUCUGCAACUCGACUCCAUGAAGUCGGAAUCGCUAGUAAUCGUGGAUCAGAAUGCCACGGUGAAUACGUUCCCGGGCCUUGUACACACCGCCCGUCACACCAUGGGAGUGGGUUGCAAAAGAAGUAGGUAGCUUAACCUUCGGGAGGGCGCUUACCACUUUGUGAUUCAUGACUGGGGUGAAGUCGUAACAAGGUAACCGUAGGGGAACCUGCGGUUGGAUCACCUCCUUACCUUAAAGAAGC
This 1556-nucleotide ribosomal RNA is filed under the name Escherichia coli. Its description in RNAcentral is "bacterial SSU rRNA". It matches the Rfam family "Bacterial small subunit ribosomal RNA". The record is from RNAcentral. Lineage: Bacteria; Pseudomonadati; Pseudomonadota; Gammaproteobacteria; Enterobacterales; Enterobacteriaceae.